UACUCAUUCCUCUGUCUUGGGCU
This 23-nucleotide microRNA is filed under the name Canis lupus familiaris (dog). RNAcentral describes it as "cfa-miR-8879". The record is from miRBase by way of RNAcentral. Lineage: Eukaryota; Metazoa; Chordata; Mammalia; Carnivora; Canidae.